This 1204-nucleotide ribosomal RNA is filed under the name Echinostoma miyagawai. RNAcentral's name for it is "partial large subunit ribosomal RNA". It matches the Rfam family "Eukaryotic large subunit ribosomal RNA", at positions 77 to 881 of the family's 3401-position model. Lineage: Eukaryota; Metazoa; Platyhelminthes; Trematoda; Plagiorchiida; Echinostomatidae. The record is from RNAcentral.
CAUUAAGUAACGGCGAGUGAACAGGGAUAAGCCCAGCACCGAAGCCUGUGGCCGUUUGGCCCCUAGGCAAUGUGGUGUUCAGGUCAGCUCGCGGGGAUACUGCUCCACCCUAAGUCCUAUAAUGAGUAAGGUUACUCGGACGUGGCCCACAGAGGGUGAAAGGCCCGUGGGGGUGGAGACUCAGUUUGGCCAGUAUCUUCCUGAGCAGACCUUGGAGUCGGGUUGUUUGUGAAUGCAGCCCAAAGUGGGUGGUAAACUCCAUCCAAGGCUAAAUACUUGCACGAGUCCGAUAGCGAACAAGUACCGUGAGGGAAAGUUGAAAAGUACUUUGAAGAGAGAGUAAACAGUGCGUGAAACCGCUCAGAGGUAAACGGGUGGAGUUGAACUGCAAGCUCCGAGGAUUCAGCUGGUGAGAUUGGCAUGAGCUUGGUCAUGUGGGUUGUAUGUUCGGGUCUGCUUAGCUGCAGGUCCUCGCCUUUGGUGGGGAUGCGCGUAUCGCUUAUCAAGCGUUGUGCGCCCGGGCUUCUCGAGCCUUCUCGCUAGUGCACUUUCUCGGAGUGUUCACCACGACCGGCGUUGCUGUCUGGCUGGUGCGGUUAAAACCGGUCUUGUAAGGUCCUCGUGGCCUUGCUUGGUCGGGAUGGCAGGUAGCCCGUUGUGUACUUCGGUGUGCUUCGGGUGUAAUAGCCGACUGCAUCGGUUCUGUGCGGUACGUCGGAGACGGCGGCUUGUUGUGCGUGCGGGCGUGCCUGUUGCGCUGGCGGCUCUGAGUCUGGUUGCCUUGUUGCUUGUAAAUGCAGGCCUGGUGAUGGCUCGGGGUCGUUUGGUGUGCGGUUGCGUUCGUGGCACUUUAAAGGGCCUAAAGUCUGUGGUGUAGUGGUAGACUAUCCACCUGACCCGUCUUGAAACACGGACCAAGGAGAGUAACAUGUGCGCGAGUCAUUGGGCGUUACGAAACCCAAAGGCGAAGUGAAAGUAAAGGUUCGGCUUGUCCGGACUGAGGUGAGAUCCUGUCGUUUCUCACGCCUGGUACUACCAAGCAUCGAGCGGCGGGCGCAUCACCGGCCCGUCCCAUGGCGUAGUGGCGGCCUCGUGCCUGCUCAUCGUCGGGGCGGAGCAUGAGCGUACAUGUUGAGACCCGAAAGAUGGUGAACUAUGCUUGCGCAGGUUGAAGCCAGAGGAAACUCUGGUGGAGGACCGCAGC